Molecule: ribosomal RNA, 290 nt
Filed under: uncultured Caulobacteraceae bacterium
Lineage: Bacteria; Pseudomonadati; Pseudomonadota; Alphaproteobacteria; Caulobacterales; Caulobacteraceae
Description: partial 16S ribosomal RNA
Rfam family: Bacterial small subunit ribosomal RNA
Source: RNAcentral
GUGGUAGUCGCACGAGCGCACCUCGCUGUAGUGUACAGUCUGCACUCUACAGACGCCGUGUAGCCGAGAAGUGGAUGACGUCAAGUCCUCAUGGCCUACAGGGUGGGCUACACACGUGCUACAAUGGCGACUACAGAGGGCUGCAAUCCCGCGAGGGGGAGCCAAUCCCUAAAAGUCGUCUCAGUUCGGAUUGCACUCUGCAACUCGAGUGCAUGAAGUUGGAAUCGCUAGUAAUCGCGGAUCAGAUGCCGCGGUGAAUACGUUCCCGGGCCUUGAACACACCGCCCGUC